This 468-nucleotide ribosomal RNA is filed under the name uncultured bacterium. Its description in RNAcentral is "partial 16S ribosomal RNA". It matches the Rfam family "Bacterial small subunit ribosomal RNA", at positions 28 to 507 of the family's 1533-position model. The record is from RNAcentral.
GACGAACGCUGGCGGCGUGCUUAACACAUGCAAGUCGAACGGAAAGGCCCUGCUUUUGUGGGGUGCUCGAGUGGCGAACGGGUGAGUAACACGUGAGUAACCUGCCCUUGACUUUGGGAUAACUUCAGGAAACUGGGGCUAAUACCGGAUAGGAGCUCCUGCUGCAUGGUGGGGGUUGGAAAGUUUCGGCGCUUGGGGAUGGACUCGCGGCUUAUCAGCUUGUUGGUGGGGUAGUGGCUUACCAAGGCUUUGACGGGUAGCCGGCCUGAGAGGGUGACCGGCCACAUUGGGACUGAGAUACGGCCCAGACUCCUACGGGAGGCAGCAGUGGGGAAUAUUGCACAAUGGGCGGAAGCCUGAUGCAGCAACGCCGCGUGCGGGAUGACGGCCUUCGGGUUGUAAACCGCUUUCGCCUGUGACGAAGCGUGAGUGACGGUAAUGGGUAAAGAGGCACCGGCUAACUACGUG